CAGUCAUACCAACGGGAAAUCAACCUUUUGAGCUUGGUCUCGUGGGUUUUGAAAGAGUUUCAAAGCCUUCGGAUUCGCGAGAUUGGGAUCUCUUGGCGUACUUUAUCGUACGGUUAGUCAACAUCGGUUUUGAAUGUCAUAAAAUGACUGGAGGAAUGUAGCUUCGAUCUCGUAUAGAAGUGUUAUAGCCUUUGGUAGAUGUGAUGUUUGAGACCGAGGAUUGCAACGGAUACCCUUCAGGGCUAUUCGUCUGAUCUCUGAUACGUUGCCCUGAUGUUGAAAGCUUGCUUAUGAUGUUAGGGUAUUACGGUCAAAAGGUUAGAACGGAUUAGA
Molecule: ribosomal RNA, 333 nt
Filed under: uncultured Glomeraceae
Lineage: Eukaryota; Fungi; Glomeromycota; Glomeromycetes; Glomerales; Glomeraceae
Description: partial large subunit ribosomal RNA
Source: RNAcentral